This 497-nucleotide ribosomal RNA is filed under the name uncultured bacterium. RNAcentral's name for it is "partial 16S ribosomal RNA". It matches the Rfam family "Bacterial small subunit ribosomal RNA", at positions 28 to 507 of the family's 1533-position model. The record is from RNAcentral.
GAUGAACGCUGGCGGCGUGCCUAAUACAUGCAAGUCGAGCGAACGGACGAGAAGCUUGCUUCUCUGAUGUUAGCGGCGGACGGGUGAGUAACACGUGGAUAACCUACCUAUAAGACUGGGAUAACUUCGGGAAACCGGAGCUAAUACCGGAUGAUAUUUUGAACCGCAUGGUUCAAAAGUGAAAGACGGUCUUGCUGUCACUUAUAGAUGGAUCCGCGCUGCAUUAGCUAGUUGGUAAGGUAACGGCUUACCAAGGCAACGAUGCAUAGCCGACCUGAGAGGGUGAUCGGCCACACUGGAACUGAGACACGGUCCAGACUCCUACGGGAGGCAGCAGUAGGGAAUCUUCCGCAAAGGGCGAAAGCCUGACGCAGCAACGCCGCGUGAGUGAUGAAGGUCUUCGGAUCGUAAAACUCUGUUAUUAGGGAAGAACAUAUGUGUAAGUAACUCUGCACAUCUUGACGGUACCUAAUCAGAAAGCCCCGGCUAACUACGUG